This 500-nucleotide ribosomal RNA is filed under the name uncultured bacterium. RNAcentral describes it as "partial 16S ribosomal RNA". It matches the Rfam family "Bacterial small subunit ribosomal RNA", at positions 28 to 507 of the family's 1533-position model. The record is from RNAcentral.
GACGAACGCUGGCGGCGUGCUUAACACAUGCAAGUCGAACGGGCCUGUCUUCUUUUUUGGGGGGUGGGUUGAGUGGCGAACGGGUGAGUAUCACGUGAGUAACCUGCCCUUCGGUCCUGGAUAACCGCUUGAAAGGGCGGCUAAUACGGGGUGGUCCGGUUGGUCCGCAUGGGCUGGUCGGGAUAGAUUCACUGUUUUUGGUGUUUCGGCGGGGGAUGGGCUCGCGGCCUAUCAGCUUGUUGGUGGGGUGAUGGCCUACCAAGGCGGGGGCGGGUAGCCGGCGUGGGAGGGUGGGCGGCCACACGGGGACUGAGAUACGGCCCAGACUCCUGCGGGAGGCAGCAGUGGGGGGUAUUGCACAAUGGGCGGAAGCCUGAUGCAGCGACGUCGCGUGAGGGAUGGAGGCCUUCGGGUUGUGAACCUCUGUUUCCGGUGGUGAAGGCCCUGUCCGUGUGGUGGGGUUGACGGUAGCCGGGGAUGAAGCGCCGGCUAACUACGUG